AGAAAGGAUAGGUUAAUUUGUGGAACAUCAAGACCACUGGAAAAGAGAGAUGGUCAUUGUCGCAGUACAGAACAGAUUUCUGUGCUGACCAGAUGUUGCACAAUGUUAUUGUGGAGGUUGCUGGCAGAAGCUGGAGGCUUGGCACCUGGAAGGAAAGGAACUAAGUGGAGACCCUGCUUACCAUCAAGUUUCCACAGAAGCCCAAAGCAGACUCAACUUCACUAAGUCCAUCGAGUGA
Molecule: long non-coding RNA, 238 nt
Organism: Alligator sinensis (Chinese alligator)
Lineage: Eukaryota; Metazoa; Chordata; Crocodylia; Alligatoridae
Exons: 3
Source: RefSeq, a predicted model, not a curated record